AGUGUAGGUGGCCGCAUAAGUCGGAUGUGAAAGCCCUGGGCUUAACCUGGGAAUGGCAUUCGAUACUGUGUGGCUAGAGUCUGAUAGAGGGAAGUGGAAUUCCAGGUGUAGCGGUGAAAUGCGUAGAUAUCUGGAGGAACAUCAGUGGCGAAGGCGGCUUCCUGGAUCAAGACUGACACUGAGGCUCGAAAGCGUGGGGAGCAAACAGGAUUAGAUACCCUGGUAGUCCACGCCCUAAACUAUGUCAACUAGACGUUGGGUUCUUUAAUGAACUUAGUGUCGAAGCUAACGCGUUAAGUUGACCGCCUGGGGAGUACGGCCGCAAGGUUGAA
Molecule: ribosomal RNA, 332 nt
Filed under: uncultured bacterium
Lineage: Bacteria
Description: bacterial SSU rRNA
Rfam family: Bacterial small subunit ribosomal RNA
Source: RNAcentral